RNAcentral lists this ribosomal RNA (1187 nucleotides) under Alteromonas macleodii. Its description in RNAcentral is "bacterial SSU rRNA". The stretch from base 4 to 1054 matches the Rfam family "Bacterial small subunit ribosomal RNA". Lineage: Bacteria; Pseudomonadati; Pseudomonadota; Gammaproteobacteria; Alteromonadales; Alteromonadaceae. The record is from RNAcentral.
GCAAAACUCUAUGCUUCCGCGGCGGCCGGCGGCCUCCUGCGAUCCGGCCUCGCUGAGCCAUGAUCAACCCACGAUGACGAGUGGCGGACGGGUGAGUAAUGCUUGGGAACUUGCCUUUGCGAGGGGGAUAACAGUUGGAAACGACUGCUAAUACCGCAUAAUGUCUACGGACCAAACGGGGCUUCGGCUCCGGCGCAAAGAGAGGCCCAAGUGAGAUUAGCUAGUUGGUAAGGUAACGGCUUACCAAGGCGACGAUCUCUAGCUGUUCUGAGAGGAAGAUCAGCCACACUGGGACUGAGACACGGCCCAGACUCCUACGGGAGGCAGCAGUGGGGAAUAUUGCACAAUGGGGGAAACCCUGAUGCAGCCAUGCCGCGUGUGUGAAGAAGGCCUUCGGGUUGUAAAGCACUUUCAGUUGUGAGGAAAAGUUAGUAGUUAAUACCUGCUAGCCGUGACGUUAACAACAGAAGAAGCACCGGCUAACUCCGUGCCAGCAGCCGCGGUAAUACGGAGGGUGCGAGCGUUAAUCGGAAUUACUGGGCGUAAAGCGCACGCAGGCGGUUUGUUAAGCUAGAUGUGAAAGCCCCGGGCUCAACCUGGGAUGGUCAUUUAGAACUGGCAGACUAGAGUCUUGGAGAGGGGAGUGGAAUUCCAGGUGUAGCGGUGAAAUGCGUAGAUAUCUGGAGGAACAUCAGUGGCGAAGGCGACUCCCUGGCCAAAGACUGACGCUCAUGUGCGAAAGUGUGGGGUAGCGAACAGGAUUAGAUACCCCGGGUAGUCCACACCGUAAACGCUGUCUACUAACUUGGGUGUGUCUUUAAAGACGUGGCGUAGCCGAAGCUAACGCCGCUAAGGAAAACCGGCCUGGGGGAGUACCGGCCGCCAAGGGUUAAAAACUCCAAAUGGAAUUUGACCGGGGGGCCCCGCACAAAGCCGGUGGGAAGCAUGGGGGGGUUUAAAUUCCGAUGGCAACCGCGGAAGAAAACCUUUACCCUACCCCUUUGAAAAUGGCCGAAGAAACUUUUCUUAGAAGAAUAGAUUUUGGGGGGCCUUUCGGGGAAACUCCAGAACCCCAGGGGGUCUUGCAAUGGGCGUUGUCCGUCCAAGCUCCCCGGUGUCCGUGGGAAAAAUGUUGGGGGUUUAAGAUGCCCCCGGCAAAACGAAGGGGCGAAAACACUCUUUUGGGC